RNAcentral lists this ribosomal RNA (406 nucleotides) under uncultured bacterium. RNAcentral's name for it is "partial 16S ribosomal RNA". It matches the Rfam family "Bacterial small subunit ribosomal RNA", at positions 30 to 526 of the family's 1533-position model. The record is from RNAcentral.
AUUGAACGCUGGCGGCAGGCUUAACACAUGCAAGUCGAACGAGGUGCGGACGGGUGAGUAAUGUCUGGGAAACUGCCUGAUUGAGGGGGAUAACUACUGGAAACGGUAGCUCAUACCGCAUACCAUCAGAUGUUCCCAGAUGGGAGUAGCUAGUAGGUGGGGUAAUGGCUCCACUGGGCGACGAUCCCUAGCUGGUCUGAGAGGCUGACCAGCCACACUGGAACUGAGACACGGUCCAGACUCCUACGGGAGGCAGCAGUGGGGAAUAUUGCACAAUGGGCGCAAGCCUGAUGCAGCCAUGCCUCGUGUGUGAAGAAGGCCUUCUGGUUGUAAAGUACUUUCAGCGAGGAGGCGUUACCCGCAGAAGAAGCACCGGCUAACUCCGUGCCAGCAGCCGCGGUAAUUC